This 467-nucleotide ribosomal RNA is filed under the name uncultured bacterium. RNAcentral's name for it is "partial 16S ribosomal RNA". It matches the Rfam family "Bacterial small subunit ribosomal RNA", at positions 28 to 507 of the family's 1533-position model. The record is from RNAcentral.
GACGAACGCUGGCGGCGUGCUUAACACAUGCAAGUCGAACGGAAAGGCCUCUUUCGGGGGGUACUCGAGUGGCGAACGGGUGAGUAACACGUGAGUAACCUGCCCUUGACUUUGGGAUAACUUCAGGAAACUGUGGCUAAUACCGGAUAGGAGCUCCUGCUGCCUGGUGGGGGUUGGAAAGUUUCGGCGGUUGGGGAUGGACUCGCGGCUUAUCAGCUUGUUGGUGGGGUAGUGGCUUACCAAGGCUUUGACGGGUAGCCGGCCUGAGAGGGUGACCGGCCACAUUGGGACGGAGAGAAGGCCCAGACUCCUACGGGAGGCAGCAGUGGGGAAGAUUGCACAAUGGGUGGAAGACUGAUGCAGCAACGCCAGGUGCGGGAUGACGGCCUUCGGGUUGUAAACCGCUUUCGCUCAUGACGAAGCUUUGUGUGACGGUAGUGGGUAAAGAAGCACCGGCUAACUACGUG